Molecule: long non-coding RNA, 341 nt
Organism: Hordeum vulgare subsp. vulgare (domesticated barley)
Lineage: Eukaryota; Viridiplantae; Streptophyta; Magnoliopsida; Poales; Poaceae
Exons: 3
Source: RefSeq, a predicted model, not a curated record
UGCAGAUACUUUGGUCAACGGUAUGAAUUUUAUCUAUCUUGUUUCACAUGUUUUUGGCUUGGUUACCUCUUUGAUCGCACCAAGAUAUAUGUAAUUGACUCUGGGAGGAGUUCGGACCAUGGGAGACGGCUUCACCUCCAGCCCAUCAGUGUUUCAGUAAGCAAUGGUUGCGCUGGAGGAGAAGGGUGGUAGCGGCGCCGCGAGGCUGGAGGUGCCGACAGGGAGGUGGCUCACGGGGAGCUUCAAUCUAACAAGCCACUUUGUGUUCUUCCUGCACCAUGGCUGGGUCAUCCUCGCCUCUGAGGGGAGCAACUGCCAGAACUCGGAAGCUAAUGAUAUUG